RNAcentral lists this long non-coding RNA (350 nucleotides) under Musa acuminata (dwarf banana). RNAcentral describes it as "long non-coding RNA (MACU_LNC006733)". Lineage: Eukaryota; Viridiplantae; Streptophyta; Magnoliopsida; Zingiberales; Musaceae. The record is from RNAcentral.
CGCGCAAGCUAAGUUCCUCGUGGUGGACCGAGGCUUGGGAUGGUUGUGCGUGCCUUUGUAUACGAUUUCGGUAAUCUGUCCAUCUAAAGAUCUCUCGAUCUUCUUCUUCGUGGGGCAACUCGGGUACGUGCACUUGUAGUAGCUGCGCGGGUUCUCGCUUCCUUUCACUUGCUUUUGCCCGUACUUCCUCCAGUUGUAUCCGUCAUCUGACCUCCUCUGCAGAGUCUGAACAGCUUGAGCAUGGUGAGCUGAACCAGAUGGGUGGCGGCUGUUGCUAUCUCUGGGGGCUGUGGAUUCAGAUUUCGUAGUGGGAGUGGUGGUGCUGUAAUGUUGUUGGUGCAUCCAUGAUC